RNAcentral lists this ribosomal RNA (424 nucleotides) under Fusobacteriota bacterium. RNAcentral's name for it is "Fusobacteria bacterium partial 16S ribosomal RNA". It matches the Rfam family "Bacterial small subunit ribosomal RNA", at positions 355 to 776 of the family's 1533-position model. The record is from RNAcentral. Lineage: Bacteria; Fusobacteriati; Fusobacteriota.
UGAGGAAUAUUGGUCAAUGGGCGAGAGCCUGAACCAGCCAAGUAGCGUGCAGGAUGACGGCCCUAUGGGUUGUAAACUGCUUUUAUGUGGGGAUAAAGUGCGUGACGUGUCAUGCAUUGCAGGUACCACAUGAAUAAGGACCGGCUAAUUCCGUGCCAGCAGCCGCGGUAAUACGGAAGGUCCGGGCGUUAUCCGGAUUUAUUGGGUUUAAAGGGAGCGUAGGCUGUCUAUUAAGCGUGUUGUGAAAUAUACCGGCUCAACCGGUGGCUUGCAGCGCGAACUGGUCGACUUGAGUAUGCAGGAAGUAGGCAGAAUUCAUGGUGUAGCGGUGAAAUGCUUAGAUAUCAUGACGAACUCCGAUUGCGCAGGCAGCUUACUGUAGCAUAACUGACGCUGAUGCUCGAAAGUGCGGGUAUCAAACAGG